This 908-nucleotide ribosomal RNA is filed under the name uncultured bacterium. RNAcentral's name for it is "bacterial SSU rRNA". It matches the Rfam family "Bacterial small subunit ribosomal RNA", at positions 11 to 935 of the family's 1533-position model. The record is from RNAcentral.
GUUUGAUCCUGGCUCAGGAUGAACGCUAGCGGCAGGCCUAAUACAUGCAAGUCGAACGGUGUCUUCGGACAUAGUGGCGCACGGGUGCGUAACACGUAUGCAACCUACCUUACAUUGGGGGAUAGCCUUUCGAAAGGGAGAUUAAUACCGCAUAAGACAGUAGCUGGGCAUCCAGCAGCUGUUAAAGAUUUAUCGAUGUAAGAUGGGCAUGCGACCAAUUAGUUAGUUGGCGAGGUAACGGCUCACCAAGACUAUGAUUGGUAGGGGAACUGAGAGGUCAAUCCCCCACACUGGCACUGAGAUACGGGCCAGACUCCUACGGGAGGCAGCAGUAGGGAAUAUUGGGCAAUGGACGCAAGUCUGACCCAGCCAUGCCGCGUGCAGGAUGAAGGCGUUAUGCGUCGUAAACUGCUUUUAUACAGGAAGAAACGACUCUUGCGAGAGGCAUUGACGGUACUGUAUGAAUAAGCACCGGCUAACUCCGUGCCAGCAGCCGCGGUAAUACGGAGGGUGCAAGCGCUGUCCGGAUUUAUUGGGUUUAAAGGGUGCGCAGGUGGUUUAUUAAGUCAGUGGUGAAAGACGGUCGCUCAACGAUUGCAGUGCCAUUGAAACUAGUAGACUUGAGUAAAGUAGAGGUGGGCGGAAUUGAUAGUGUAGCGGUGAAAUGCAUAGAUAUUAUCAAGAACUCCAAUUGCGUAGCAGCUCACUUGGCUUUUACUGACACUCAUGCACGAAGGUGUGGGUAUCAAACAGGAUUAGAUACCCUGGUAGUCCACACUGUAAACGAUGAUAACUAGGUGUCGGCCGAAUCUGGUCGGUGCCACAGCGAAAGCGUUAAGUUAUCCACCUGGGGAGUACGCCGGCACGGUGAAACUCAAAGGAAUUGACGGGGUCCGCANAAGCGGUGG